This 229-nucleotide ribosomal RNA is filed under the name uncultured bacterium. RNAcentral's name for it is "partial 16S ribosomal RNA". It matches the Rfam family "Bacterial small subunit ribosomal RNA", at positions 568 to 796 of the family's 1533-position model. The record is from RNAcentral.
CAUGUAGGCGGUCAAUCAAGUCAGAUGUGAAAGUCCUGGGCUUAACCCAGGAAGUGCAUCUGAAACUGUUUGGCUAGAGUACAGGAGAGGAAGGUGGAAUUCCUGGUGUAGAGGUGAAAUUCGUAGAUAUCGGGAAGAACACCGGUGGCGAAGGCGGCCUUCUGGCCUGAUACUGACGCUGAGAUGCGAAAGCGUGGGGAGCAAACAGGAUUAGAUACCCUGGUAGUCC